Molecule: microRNA precursor, 126 nt
Filed under: Arabidopsis lyrata
Lineage: Eukaryota; Viridiplantae; Streptophyta; Magnoliopsida; Brassicales; Brassicaceae
Description: miR4237 stem-loop (aly-MIR4237)
Source: miRBase by way of RNAcentral
AAAGACUGUUCUAUGACAUCGAUUAUAUGUUUACGUUUGUUUUUACGUUAACAUGUAAUAAUAGUUUGCUAUAAACGUAAAAACAAACGUAAACAUAUAUAAUCGAUGUCAUAAAACUAUAUUUAC